RNAcentral lists this ribosomal RNA (253 nucleotides) under uncultured bacterium. RNAcentral describes it as "partial 16S ribosomal RNA". It matches the Rfam family "Bacterial small subunit ribosomal RNA", at positions 524 to 776 of the family's 1533-position model. The record is from RNAcentral.
UACGAAGGGGGCUAGCGUUGUUCGGAAUCACUGGGCGUAAAGCGCACGUAGGCGGAUCUUUAAGUCAGGGGUGAAAUCCCGAGGCUCAACCUCGGAACUGCCUUUGAUACUGGGGAUCUCGAGUCCGGGAGAGGUGAGUGGAACUGCGAGUGUAGAGGUGAAAUUCGUAGAUAUUCGCAAGAACACCAGUGGCGAAGGCGGCGACCUGGGUCGAUACUGACGCUGAGGUGCGAAAGCGUGGGGAGCAAACAGG